RNAcentral lists this unclassified non-coding RNA (2636 nucleotides) under Leishmania donovani. RNAcentral's name for it is "gene:LdHU3.30.3900(CDS-product:hypothetical_prote in_conserved)". Lineage: Eukaryota; Euglenozoa; Kinetoplastea; Trypanosomatida; Trypanosomatidae. The record is from RNAcentral.
GGGUGGGGGAGGAGGUUGGCCCGCAGUGGACGCUCACGGCGCCUUUCUCUCUUACCCACUCCCCUCCGUCCCCUCCCGUGCCUCUGCCCCACUGAGCACACCCGCACACGCACGGGUGAGUAUAGCGCGCACAACAGCAGCACUGAUAGCGCUGGAAAAAAAAAGGGCUAAGCUCGGCGAUGCGCUUGUGAUGGGUCGUUUCUUUACUUCGCUUUGCUUGAAUGGCGUGCGGACGUCUGACAAUGUGCCGCUGCACGUGGUGGAUGCGCAGACGCUCUCGCUGAACGGGAAACUAGUGGCGGCCGACGAUGUGGUGGAGCUCGCCUUGCCGAGCAAGUUGGCGACCGCGAUAAUGUCAUCCAUGGCAGCAGCGCCGGCGUACGCCUACUCGAUAUUUUUCUUGUUAGGCUCUCAGGUGCAUCACGGACGACUCGGCGACGCCGUCGUCCACUACAUCAUCCGAAAUCAGGCCCGCCAUCGUUCGGCCCUUGAUGAGCGUCAGAUCGCCCUGCGGCCCGUCGUGACAGCACCCGAGGACCGGAAUGGUACCAACGCAGCUCCCCUGCAGUACGAAGAGUGUCUCCUCUUCGCCUACGACGGCGGCGCCACGGCGUGCGAGACCCUUCGCGCGAGCGACGCUGCCGAGACAGUCGAUGAGGUGCUUCGCACGCUGAGCGUCAUCUCGCUUGCCGUAUUCAAGUACAAGGGGAACAAGACGUGUGCGGUGCUUGUCGGCUCUCAUCUUUCCACGGCACACAUGGCCGCACUGUUGCUGGCAUCGCGCCGGCACGUCUUCCUAUAUAUGGAUGAGUCCAUGUCUGCCGAGGAGAUGCUGGCAACCACGGCCGAAAUGCAGCAGGUGCGAGAGUCUCUCUUUUCCUUUUCGACCCCCCUCGCAGUGGAUGCGGAGCGAGCACGGCGGACGGUCGGCAGCAGCAACGGCGGCGCGUCGCCUCUUCACAUGAGUUGUACGCUGAAUGCCCUGGCCCACACGGACGGGGAGUACGAAGUACUUCUAGCGGCGGUGUCGCGGGAGUGGGCCCAGCAGCAGGAACGGCGCUCGACGCAGCACCCACAUGGUGCGGCCACGGCUCCAGGCGAUGGUGAGGCUGGUUCUGUACCGCUGCCAGGGGCAUUCCAAAGAGAACUGGAGGAUGCGCGGGCCGCGCAACGUGACGCCGAAGACGCGCUGGCAGAUCAGCGCCGCGCGCAUCGCAAAGAGGUGCUGCUCCUCCGUGCGGAGCUCGAGAGCGCGCAGCGGAGCGGCGACGACACGGUCGUCUCGGAGGUGCCGAACGGGUCCACCGUGAACGGCAGAGCCGUAUCGCAAACCUUUUCGCAUUCCCUUCAGCAGCAGCAGCAGCACAGCCACCGCCACCACUCGAGUGAUGCCGAGUCGAGCGCCGUCGUAUCGCAGCUGCAAAAGGCUCUUCAGGACGCGCGCAAAGCACAGCAGUUCGCAGAGGAGAAGGCCCGCUUGUUGGAGCUGCGGCAGUCGCUGACGUCGGGCAGCAAAGGCGCACCCACGGGGGCAGGAGACGCCAGCGGCGCCGUUACCUCCCCGCGACCGUCUCUGCGUCUGCAGCCGUCCAGGGCGACCAGCAUCGCAGCGCUCAGCCCCUCCGCGGCCGCACCGCCCGCCUGGGAGCAGAACCUUCUCAAGCAAGAGAACGCGGCGCUCGUCGCGGAGUUCCAACGCAAAGAGAGGGGGUGGCAGCAGCAACUGCUCCAGGCUUCGGCUGAGGCGGCACAGCUGAAGCAAGAAAGAGCCACCAUGAAAGCCACGCUGCAGUUGCAGUCUCAGGCAAUCGCGGCCGCACAGCAGGCGCUCGUGGACAGCCGCGUAGCACAGGAGCAGGAGAUGAAGCAACUCCUGGAACGUGUGCGAGUGCUUUCCCAGGAGUCCCGCUCCCGGCGCCGUAGUCAGACCCAAUCCGCCGACACAGACAAGACGCGCGGCUCUCACGCAGGUGGUGAUGUGCCUGACGCAGGGGUGCUAUCGCCCCCAGUCCGUUUAUCUCGCCCACUACAGCGGCAAGCCACGCCGGAGCCGUCGCCUGUCGGCUCCCCCAGGCCGAAGACUACAGCGUCCAUCUGUGGCAUCAUGAGCCCGGAUCGCUGACGUCGUGAGGGCUGCGGCUUUCUCUCUGCGGUCGAGUCGCCACCGCAUGUCUUGCGCUCUUCUUCGGUGUAGAGAGUGGUGGUGAGGGGGGGCCAGAGGGCGAGUAUUCUGCGGCUACGUUGCCGCAUCUGCGGCACCUUCCAUGCGUCUGUGGCAUGAAUCAGCCGCCACGGGGGCACCGGCCCAUGUGCGUGCAAAUGAAGUUUCACCGCGCCCCACUCACUUCUACUCGUGUAUCAUUACCGUGCGUUCUCUAGUGUGCCAUGUGGGGUAGAUAAGGAAGGAGAGCCUCACGUACUCAUAGAUAUUUUUCAGGUCUGCUUCUGUGUAGGUGUGCGUAUGUGUGGUGUGUGUGUGUGUGUGUUCACACGAGACGUUGGGAAUGUCGGUGUAUGGGGGGUGAGGUGCAAAGCCAACCGACAAAACCAGCCGCGGCACGCACAUGAACGGAAGCGCACCGUUUUGCGGAAGAGGUCCAACUGGAGAAUUGCAAGCCGCUAGCAGGCCAUCAUAC